This 75-nucleotide transfer RNA is filed under the name Merluccius polli (Benguela hake). RNAcentral's name for it is "tRNA-Ile". It matches the Rfam family "tRNA". Rfam says of the family: Transfer RNA (tRNA) molecules are approximately 80 nucleotides in length. Their secondary structure includes four short double-helical elements and three loops (D, anti-codon, and T loops). The record is from RNAcentral. Lineage: Eukaryota; Metazoa; Chordata; Actinopteri; Gadiformes; Merlucciidae.
GGCCGGAUAGCUCAGUUGGUUAGAGCGUGGUGCUAAUAACGCCAAGGUCACGGGUUCAACCCCCCGUACGGGCCG